UGGCGGCAGGCCUAAUACAUGCAAGUCGAACGGCAGCACAGCAGAGCUUGCUCUGUGGGUGGCGAGUGGCGGACGGGUGAGGAAUACAUGGGAAUCUGCCCAGUCGUGGGGGAUAACGUAGGGAAACUUACGCUAAUACCGCAUGCGCCCUUCGGGGGGAAAAGCCGGGGGACCGUAAGGCCUGGCGCGAUUGGAUGAGCCCAUGUCGGAUUAGCUAGUUGGCGGGGUAAAGGCCCACCAAGGCGACGAUCCGUAGCUGGUCUGAGAGGAUGAUCAGCCACACUGGAACUGAGACACGGUCCAGACUCCUACGGGAGGCAGCAGUAGGGAAUAUUGGACAAUGGGCGCAAGCCUGAUCCAGCCAUGCCGCGUGAGUGAAGAAGGCCCUCGGGUUGUAAAGCUCUUUUGUCCGGAAAGAAAAGCGCCGGGUUAAUACCCUGGUGUCCUGACGGUACCGGAAGAAUAAGCACCGGCUGACUUCGUG
RNAcentral lists this ribosomal RNA (484 nucleotides) under uncultured bacterium. Its description in RNAcentral is "bacterial SSU rRNA". It matches the Rfam family "Bacterial small subunit ribosomal RNA", at positions 37 to 507 of the family's 1533-position model. The record is from RNAcentral.